This 30-nucleotide non-coding RNA is filed under the name Mus musculus (house mouse). Lineage: Eukaryota; Metazoa; Chordata; Mammalia; Rodentia; Muridae. The record is from RNAcentral.
UACAUAGUCACAAAUGUUUGGAAGUGUCAU